RNAcentral lists this long non-coding RNA (2198 nucleotides) under Salmo salar (Atlantic salmon). Its description in RNAcentral is "lncRNA (ENSSSAG00000115114.1)". Lineage: Eukaryota; Metazoa; Chordata; Actinopteri; Salmoniformes; Salmonidae. The record is from RNAcentral.
CCUCAAAGAUCUCGUCUCGUGAGACCUCUAUGCGACAGUGUCCAGCCUGUGGUUGCUGCAGCGACAGCUCGUGUCUGAGCAGCUUCAGUUUGUGGACCAGGUCUCUCUCGUAGCGCAGAGUCACUUCCUCUUCUCCUCCUCCUCCUCCUCCUCCUUCCUCCUCCUCCCCCACCUCCAUCUCUCUCCCUCCUCCCCCACCCAGCGGCUGAGACGCUUCCUUCACCUGGGAAUGUUGGCUGGAGACACACAGAAAGGUCUGAUGUGUUUUAUUUUACAUAUCUUUCAUACUGAAUGUUAUCAGAUAUUCAACCAAAACCUGAUAUUAGAUAAAGGGGGAAACCUGAGUAAUAUAAUUAUUUUAUUUAUUUAAUUAACUUUCUGCAAUUUUAUUUAUUUAAUUAAGUUAUGUAACACCAAAUUCCCAUUUUUAAAAAAGUAUUUCCCCGUUACACUCAAUAACUGGAUGAGUUAAAAUAAUGUUCUAUGGACAGGUGAGAUAAAAGAAUGUUCUAUGGACAGGUGAGAUAAAGGUAUGUUCUAUGGACAGGUGAGAUAAAGGUAUGUUCUAUAGACAGGUGAGAUAAAGGUAUGUUCUAUGGACAGGUGAGUUAAAGGUAUGUUCUAUAGACAGGUGAGAUAAAGGUAUGUUCUAUAGACAGGUGAGAUAAAGGUAUGUUCUAUAGACAGGUGAGAUAAAGGAAUGUUCUAUGGACAGGUGAGUUAAAGGUAUGUACUAUGGACAGGUGAGUUAAAGGUAUGUACUAUAGACAGGUGAGUUAAAGGUAUGUUCUAUAGACAGGUGAGAUAAAGGUAUGUUCUAUAGACAGGUGAGAUAAAGGUAUGUUCUAUAGACAGGUGAGAUAAAGGAAUGUUCUAUAGACAGGUGAGUUAAAAUAAUGUUCUAUAGACAGGUGAGAUAAAGGUAUGUACUAUAGACAGGUGAGAUAAAGGAAUGUUCUAUGGACAGGUGAGAUAAAACAAUGUUCUAUGGACAGGUGAGAUAAAGGAAUGUUCUAUGGACAGGUAAGAUAAAACAAUGUUCUAUGGACAGGUAGGAUAAAGGUAUGUUCUAUGGACAGGUGAGUUAAAGGUAUGUUCUAUAGACAGGUGAGAUAAAGGUAUGUUCUAUAGACAGGUGAGAUAAAGGAAUGUUCUAUGGACAGGUGAGAUAAAGGUAUGUUCUAUAGACAGGUGAGAUAAAGGUAUGUUCUAUAGACAGGUGAGAUAAAGGAAUGUUCUAUGGACAGGUGAGAUAAAGGUAUGUUCUAUAGACAGGUGAGAUAAAGGUAUGUUCUAUAGACAGGUGAGAUAAAGGAAUGUUCUAUGGACAGGUGAGAUAAAGGUAUGUUCUAUAGACAGGUGAGAUAAAGGUAUGUUCUAUAGACAGGUGAGAUAAAGGAAUGUUCUAUGGACAGGUGAGAUAAAGGUAUGUUCUAUGGACAGGUGAGAUAAAAGAAUGUUCUAUGGACAGGUGAGUUAAAAUAAUGUUCUAUAGACAGGUGAGAUAAAGGAAUGUUCUAUAGACAGGUGAGUUAAAGGAAUGUUCUAUAGACAGGUGAGAUAAAGGUAUGUUCUAUAGACAGGUGAGUUAAAGGUAUGUUCUAUAGACAGGUGAGAUAAAGGUAUGUUCUAUAGACAGGUGAGAUAAAGGUAAAACCCUUUGGACAACAUGAAUCCCAAAAAGCAACACAUUUGAAGUUCUGGAACGGCCGAAUCCAAGUCCAAACCAAAUCCCAACGAGAUGUUUGUGGGAGGAUCUGGGCCAAAAUUCCUCCACAUCGAGGCGAGAUGACAACUACAGGAAGUGUUUGGUUGGAGUCAUGGCAACUAAAGGGAACCAGUUAUUGAGCGGAAGGUGGAAAUCACUUUUCACACGAGGGGCAUAACUACGUUUAUGAAAUAACUGAAAUAAGUGCAAUAAGUGCAAUAAGUGCAAUAAGUGCAAUAAGUGUAAUAAGUGCAAUAAGUGCAAUAAGUGUAAUAAGUGUGCACCUGAUGAUGGUGUGAAGCCGAGGGUCAGUGAACUGCGUUGUUCGGUUGUUGUGAUCCACAAAGUAGAUCCUUCCAGAUACCGUACUCCUCACCUCCCAUCCGGCCGGCAGAGGACCCAACUCCUCACAGCUCACACUGGUCAGGUCCCUGGACCAAUCACAACACACCUCACUGGUCAGGUGCCUGGACCAAUCACAACACAGCUC